AAUCAACGCUGGCGGCGUGCCUCAGACAUGCAAGUCGAACGAUUAAAGCUCUCUUCGGAGAGUGUAUAGAGUGGCGCACGGGUGAGUAACACGUAAGUAAUCUACCUUCGAGUGGGGAAUAACCCGGGGAAACCCGAGCUAAUACCGCAUAAUGCAGCGGCAUCGCAAGAUGACAGUGUUAAAGAUUUAUCGCUUGAAGAGGAGCUUGCGGCAGAUUAGCUAGUUGGUAAGGUAAUGGCUUACCAAGGCUACGAUCUGUAAACCGGUC
This 268-nucleotide ribosomal RNA is filed under the name uncultured bacterium. RNAcentral's name for it is "partial 16S ribosomal RNA". It matches the Rfam family "Bacterial small subunit ribosomal RNA", at positions 32 to 292 of the family's 1533-position model. The record is from RNAcentral.